AUUGAACGCUGGCGGCGUGCCUAACACAUGCAAGUCGAGCGGUAACAGGUGUAGCAAUACAUGCUGACGAGCGGCGAACGGGUGAGUAAUGCUUCGGAAUCUACCUUAUGGCGGGGAAUAACUAGCCGAAAGGUUAGCUAAUACCGCAUACGUCCUACGGGAGAAAGCAGGGGAUCGCAAGACCUUGCGCCAAAAGAUGAGCCGAAGUCGGAUUAGCUAGUUGGUAGGGUAACGGCCUACCAAGGCGACGAUCCGUAGCUGGUCUGAGAGGACGACCAGCCACACUGGGACUGAGACACGGCCCAGACUCCUACGGGAGGCAGCAGUGGGGAAUAUUGGACAAUGGGGGAAACCCUGAUCCAGCGACGCCGCGUGUGUGAAGAAGGCCUGCGGGUUGUAAAGCACUUUUAGUGGGGAUGAAAUGUGCAGGGCUAAUACCUCUGCAUUUCGACCUAACCCACAGAAAAAGCACCGGCUAACUCUGUGCCAGCCGCCGCGGUAA
RNAcentral lists this ribosomal RNA (502 nucleotides) under uncultured bacterium. RNAcentral describes it as "partial 16S ribosomal RNA". It matches the Rfam family "Bacterial small subunit ribosomal RNA", at positions 30 to 523 of the family's 1533-position model. The record is from RNAcentral.